Long non-coding RNA from Micropterus salmoides (largemouth bass), 1368 nucleotides. RefSeq lists it as uncharacterized. The transcript has 2 exons. The record is from RefSeq and is a predicted model, not a curated record. Lineage: Eukaryota; Metazoa; Chordata; Actinopteri; Centrarchiformes; Centrarchidae.
UGAAGCUGCUGUGUGGUUUUCUGGAGGAUCCACACUGCAGACUGGAGACUCUGAGCUGGUGAUCUCUGUCAGAGUGUGAGGGGUCAGAAAGGUGGAGGUGUUGAGAGAGGAUCAGCUGUGUCCUGAUGAUCCAGAGAGGUUGAAGCAGCAGCAUCAGCUUGUGUGUGGAGAGGCUCUGACUGGGCCAUGUUACUGGGAGGUAGAGUGGAGAGAAGAGCUUCAUCCAGCAGUGACUGACAGAGGAAUCCCAACAAAGGCUGGGAUUUUUAAUUUUAAUAAUAAAAUUCUGCUGUAACCUACCUAUUUACUUUUUUGACAUUCAGUUAUUACCUGUAUCGAAGUUUGGAAAAAAUGUAGACCUAUGUAUCACCACAUAGUUGUUGGAAAAGUUGCGAAACAUACUUGACUCACUCUGAUCUACAUGUUGUCAUCUUUCACAACGGUGAAUAAGAUGUUGGUUGAGUCGCGCAGGCAGAGUUUCUUCAUAACGGGCGCAUGCUCCGCAUUUUCCCACGAAGAAUGCACUUUGAUUAUGCAUAUAUUUAUAUAUGAUGAAACUACCAAAUCUAACACUGUGGCAGCCAGUAAAGCCAGGGAGGCUUGUUGGCAGUGUAGUGAGUAAAUUUGCAAUUAACUUAACAGUGUUCUUGUUGUAAUUUUCUAUUGUGUAUUUUAUGGACUCUUAUGUGUAAUGUGAUUAAAAUGUACAAGUUCAAGGUACAACUGCAUAAUAAGUACAUUGUAAUAAAAUAAAAAAUGGAGCCUGGGGAGAGGGGUAAUAAUAAUCUGAGGAAAAACUUUAUGAGGAACUAAUUAUCACAAAUCGACAAGUUAAAAUUUUAAAUAAUCUCUGACAUUAUAUAUAACAUAAAACAUUUAUGAGAGGAACUAUCGCUUCACUUUGUAAGGCUGCAAAAUACCACGCAUACCUCUGCCAUGUAUUAUGCAUGCAGAAAAUUAUAUUAUAGGAUCCUUCACAGCCAGAUUUAGCAACGAUGAAAUACUGUUGAUUUCAGCCCUCAUCAGACUUUGCGGUGAAGUGGGCAUAUUCAGAAGAAAAUUGGGAUUUUUUUUAGGGAAUUUCCAAGUUCUUGUAAAUCUACCAUUUUCAUGUAGGAAUUUUUUUCUUGGAUUAUACAACCUCACCCUGGCUCUGUAUUUUUCAGGUAUGUAAAAUAGUCAAUCAAAAUAUGUGAUACAUUUAGGAUUAUUUAAUCAGAUUGCACUAAAAAGGAGGCCUAAUUCCACUGUCUAUUUUGUACAAUGACAAUAAAUGGUUUUUAUUCUAUUAUAUUCUAUACAGAUUUUUAAAUGAAUGAUUUAAUUUAUUAAAAAUUAUAUCAAAAUUAAAUUAAAAAAAUUUAAAAA